RNAcentral lists this ribosomal RNA (585 nucleotides) under uncultured bacterium. Its description in RNAcentral is "bacterial SSU rRNA". It matches the Rfam family "Bacterial small subunit ribosomal RNA", at positions 69 to 676 of the family's 1533-position model. The record is from RNAcentral.
CAGAUAGCAAUAUUUGAGUGGCGCACGGGUGAGUAACACGUAGCUUACCUACCCUGAAGAGCGGGAUAACGUUCCGAAAGGAAUGCUCAUACCGCAUAAGCUCACGGUCUCUAGAGGGUUGUGAGAAAAUGGGGAAACUCGCUUCAGGAUGGGGCUGCGGCCCAUCAGCUGGUUGGUGAGGUAAAAGCUUACCAAGGCGACGACGGGUAGGGGACCUGAGAGGGUGACCCCCCACACUGGGACUGAGACACGGCCCAGACUCCUACGGGAGGCAGCAGUGAGGGAUAUUGCACAAUGGGCGCAAGCCUGAUGCAGCGACGCCGCGUGGAUGAAGAAGGCUUUCGGGUCGUAAAAUCCUUUUGCGCAUGACGAGGACAAGGACGGUAGUGCGCGAAUAAGUCUCGGCUAACUACGUGCCAGCAGCCGCGGUAAAACGUAGGAGACGAACGUUAUCCGGAGUUACUGGGCGUAAAGGGCGUGUAGGCGGUUGGAUAAGUUCGGCGUGAAAUUUCCCGGCUUAACCGGGGGAUGUCGUCGGAGACUGUCGGACUAGAGGGUGAUAGAGGCGUGUGGAAUUCCGGGUGU